GCUGAUAGCAGGAAACUCAGCUUCAACCAGGAGAAAGGGUUUAAUUCAUUUCAGAGCUGUAGCCAACCCAGGCGGGUACUUCAGAUGCAGCGCACCGUGCCACGGUCACCAGACGUCCAUGUGGCUGUGUCCAGCCAAUGGCCUAAUGUGCACCAUGAUCCAGUGAGAUCAGGAAUGCUUGCAGCGACUUUCCUUCUCAAUGCAGCCCCUUUUACCUUUAUUAGGAGUACUCAGCACCUUCUUAGACACGGCUCAGAUUCAGGGCCCAGAUCUGCCACAGCUCGACCUCAGAUAUCCCUUUUGAUGACUGACAUUGUUCAUGGCCCAGGGAUAUGCUUCUCAACAUCUUUGUCUAAUGUCCUUGAAACAGUAAAUGACUGCAUCUGAAUGCUAUGGAAAUUCUGGGGUUGCAUCCCUGUUGUCAGCACAGACAAAAGCACUACUCCAGAGUAUAGGGAAAAUUUAAGUGGUGAGAUCUUUUGGGAGACAGAAAAGGCCCUACAAAUGUGAGGAAUGGGACUGGAACACAACAUUUGUUGCUGAAGUUACAUAUUUUGAAAAUAAAGUCAGGACCAAUGGGUAGCAAUUACCCAAGAGAUAAAUUUCUGCCAGUGGAGCCAUGAACCAGUGGAAUGGGUACCGCCACGGUGGGUGCCCUCACUGCACGGAAAUGUUCAGGAGGAGGCUGGGCAGCUGCAGACAGAGACUGAAGUCUGGAACCCUGUUCCUGCUGCUGCUAAUCCCCCUGGCCUUCAGUUCCCCUGCCACAGGUAGGACUCAUGCAAGUGAAAAGAGCCCAAUGAAAUGAGGGGCAAAGGAAAGACCUCGUCAUGCCCAAGGCACGGUUGCCCUGACAAGUGGUCUUGGAGUGUGAGGCACAAAGUGAAGCCCUCCACUCUCCCCUCUCUCACCCUCCCCUGACGUAGAUGGCUGAGAUUGCAAGGCAGAUGCAGUGCAUGCAAUUAACCAGCCCUGCAAAGAUCAGAAUUGAGAGUACUGCCUGAAGGCCAGAGCCUGUGAGUGUAUACAUUGCAAUGAAAGAAAUAGAGAUCCAGUUGAUUCUUAAUCAUUGCUGCUUAGUAUUCUGGUGCGGAGAUGUUUAUCUAAACAGUCUAAUAUCGAUGAAGGUACUUAGAACACUGAAACAAAAUAAAGCAAUAUUUUGCAUAUAGAAAAAAUCAAAGAAAUGAUCAAAGAGAAAAAUCCAGAUCUUUCAUAAGAAUUGAUUUGUUGUUCUUAUUAGGUAAUACAGUCAUAUAUUUACAUAGUUCCAAAGGUAUAUGUUGAGUAGUGUCACUCCUGCAGAUCCUACCUCCAACUCCUGACUCUAUAGGUCUCACUCUUUUUUUAUUGUCCUAAAUAUACAUAACAUAAAAUUUAUAAAUUUAAUAUUCUAGGGUAUAGUUCAGUGGUAUUAAGUACAUUCACACUGAUGUGCAACCAUCAUUAUCAUCCAUUCCCAAAACUUUUCAUCACCGCAAAUAGAAAAGCUGUACCCAUGAAACAAUAACUUCCAUUGCCUCCCCCUCAGCCUUUGGUAACCUCUAUUCUACUUUCUGUUUCUAUGAAUUUGACUGUUCUAGGUACCUCAUAUAAGUGGAAUCACACAAUAUUUGUCCCUUUGUGUCUAACUUAUUUCACUUAGCAUGUUUUCAAGAUUUAUCUGUACUGUACCAUGUAUCAGAAUUUCAUUCUUUUUCAAGGCUAAAUAAUAUUCCAUUGUGUGUAUGUAUCAUAUUUUGUUUAACCAUUCAUUUAUUGACUGACAUUGGAGUCCUUUCCAUCUUUUGUCUAUUGUGAAGAAAGCUGCUGUUAACACUAGUGUAUAAAUAAAUAUCUGUUCAAGUCCC
Molecule: long non-coding RNA, 1850 nt
Organism: Homo sapiens (human)
Lineage: Eukaryota; Metazoa; Chordata; Mammalia; Primates; Hominidae
Exons: 3
Source: RefSeq, a predicted model, not a curated record